Molecule: long non-coding RNA, 416 nt
Filed under: Rattus norvegicus (Norway rat)
Lineage: Eukaryota; Metazoa; Chordata; Mammalia; Rodentia; Muridae
Description: long non-coding RNA NONRATT020307
Source: RNAcentral
CACCCCAUCCUCUGCAGAACCUGUGCUACCUGGGCCUCCCAUAGCACCCUAUUCCUUACCCAAAGAAGACACCAAGUGGCCACCUGCUCUCCAGCCACCUGUAGGGCUGGGUCCCCCUCCCCCAGACCCAAAUCUCCUGGCCCCUCCCUCUGGAGAUUCUGCUGGCUUUAGGCAGCUUCUCCCUGAGGUCCUGGAGCCUGGACCCCUGGCUUCCAACCAGCCCCCUACAGAACAACUCUUGCCUGACCUGCUCAUCAGCCCCCACAUGCUGCCUUUGACUGACCUAGAGAUCAAGUUCCAGUACCGGGGACGUCCACCGCGGGCCCUCACCAUCAGCAACCCACAAGGCUGCAGGCUCUUCUAUAGCCAGCUAGAGGCUACCCAGGAGCAAGUGGAACUCUUUGGCCCUGUGACCC